GCCACAAUCCAGAGGAAUCUGUUCAAACGGCUCAAAACUGACCUGCUCCUCAUCUGAGCUGUGAUUUACACCGCUGUUGUGUCCGUGUCUCUGAGUGAGAGGACUGACAGUGACCAUUACUGAACCCUAAACGAGCACACACUGUCCCACCGCACCGCAGCCCCAGCGGAGAGAAGCCAGCUGAUUACAGACCAGUUGCCAUUUGUCUCUGGAAAAAAGCUUGGAAACUCUCAAAAGUUCCAGGAAAGCUCUUUACAUUCUCACCAGAGGAGGAGUGUGGGGUCUGUCCUGCCAUCACCCACCCCUCUUUCAUCACAUCCAGCCCCCUGAGAGGAGUCCAGACCGGCAGAACCAGGUCCUCAGGAGCAGAGUGUGUUAUGUGUAAAAAGCUCUGACACAAAUUCAGCGCCACCAUUUCCAAAGUCCCUCCCCUGCGUUGUGAUUGGCUGUUGUGGGUGGCUCAGGUGUGCUUUCAUUGGCUUGGUUUAACGUAAGGCUCCAGGUGAAAUAGCAGAGCUCCAGUCAUGCGUGAAGGAACCAAGACACACACACACACACACACGUAGCCAAAACACAGAACAUACCACACACACACACACACACACACACACACAAAGCAAUGCAAAAACAGCAUAAAAUCUGAACCAGUAUUACAUAGA
This is a long non-coding RNA of Cyprinus carpio (common carp), 659 nucleotides long. Lineage: Eukaryota; Metazoa; Chordata; Actinopteri; Cypriniformes; Cyprinidae. The record is from Ensembl.